Molecule: ribosomal RNA, 348 nt
Filed under: uncultured Streptococcus sp.
Lineage: Bacteria; Bacillati; Bacillota; Bacilli; Lactobacillales; Streptococcaceae
Description: bacterial SSU rRNA
Rfam family: Bacterial small subunit ribosomal RNA
Source: RNAcentral
ACAGGUGGUGGCAUGGUUGUCGUCAGCUCGUGUCGUGAGAUGUUGGGUUAAGUCCCGCAACGAGCGCAACCCCUAUUGUUAGUUGCCAUCAUUCAGUUGGGCACUCUAGCGAGACUGCCGGUAAUAAACCGGAGGAAGGUGGGGAUGACGUCAAAUCAUCAUGCCCCUUAUGACCUGGGCUACACACGUGCUACAAUGGUUGGUACAACGAGUUGCGAGUCGGUGACGGCGAGCUAAUCUCUUAAAGCCAAUCUCAGUUCGGAUUGUAGGCUGCAACUCGCCUACAUGAAGUCGGAAUCGCUAGUAAUCGCGGAUCAGCACGCCGCGGUGAAUACGUUCCCGGGCCUU